This 757-nucleotide ribosomal RNA is filed under the name uncultured organism. RNAcentral describes it as "bacterial SSU rRNA". It matches the Rfam family "Bacterial small subunit ribosomal RNA", at positions 60 to 858 of the family's 1533-position model. The record is from RNAcentral.
AGUCGAACGCAACCUUCGGGUUGAGUGGCGGACGGGUGAGUAACGCGUGAGAAUCUGCCUUGGGGUCGGGGACAACCACUGGAAACGGUGGCUAAUACCGGAUAAGCCUUUGGGUAAAAGAUUUAUUGCCCCAAGAGGAGCUCGCGUCUGAUUAGCUAGUUGGUGAGGUAAAAGCUCACCAAGGCAGCGAUCAGUAGCUGGUCUGAGAGGACGAUCAGCCACACUGGGACUGAGACACGGCCCAGACUCCUACGGGAGGCAGCAGUGGGGAAUUUUCCGCAAUGGGCGAAAGCCUGACGGAGCAAGACCGCGUGAGGGAGGAAGGCUCUUGGGUUGUAAACCUCUUUUCUCAGGGAAGAAGCUCUGACGGUACCUGAGGAAUCAGCCUCGGCUAACUCCGUGCCAGCAGCCGCGGUAAUACGGAGGAGGCAAGCGUUAUCCGGAAUUAUUGGGCGUAAAGCGUCCGCAGGUGGCGAUUCAAGUCUGCUGUCAAAGCACGGGGCUUAACUCCGUUAAGGCAGUGGAAACUGAAUAGCUAGAGUGCCGUAGGGGUAGAGGGAAUUCCCGGUGUAGCGGUGAAAUGCGUAGAGAUCGGGAAGAACAUCGGUGGCGAAAGCGCUCUACUGGACGGCAACUGACACUCAGGGACGAAAAGCUAGGGGAGCGAAUGGGAUUAGAUACCCCAGUAGUCCUAAGCUGUAAACGAUGGAUACUAGGUGUAGCUUGUAUCGACCCGAGCUGUGCCCGAAGCUAACGC